GGAGAGAUGGCUCAGUGGUUAAGAGCACUGACUGCUCUUCCAGAGGUCCUGAGCUCAAUUCCCAGCAACCACA
This 73-nucleotide transfer RNA is filed under the name Mus musculus (house mouse). Its description in RNAcentral is "tRNA-Ser". The record is from RNAcentral. Lineage: Eukaryota; Metazoa; Chordata; Mammalia; Rodentia; Muridae.